This 73-nucleotide transfer RNA is filed under the name Salmo salar (Atlantic salmon). It matches the Rfam family "tRNA". From Rfam's summary of the family: Transfer RNA (tRNA) molecules are approximately 80 nucleotides in length. Their secondary structure includes four short double-helical elements and three loops (D, anti-codon, and T loops). Further hydrogen bonds mediate the characteristic L-shaped molecular structure. tRNAs have two regions of fundamental functional importance: the anti-codon, which is responsible for specific mRNA codon recognition, and the 3' end, to which the tRNAs corresponding amino acid is attached (by aminoacyl-tRNA synthetases). tRNAs cope with the degeneracy of the genetic code in two manners: having more than one tRNA (with a specific anti-codon) for a particular amino acid; and 'wobble' base-pairing, i.e. permitting non-standard base-pairing at the 3rd anti-codon position. The record is from Rfam by way of RNAcentral. Lineage: Eukaryota; Metazoa; Chordata; Actinopteri; Salmoniformes; Salmonidae.
UUCCCUGUGGCUCAGUUGGUAGAGCAUGGUGUGUGCAACACCAGGGUUGUGGGUUCAAUUCCCACAGGGGGCA